AACAACUUGAAGAUGGU
Molecule: small RNA, 17 nt
Filed under: Arabidopsis thaliana (thale cress)
Lineage: Eukaryota; Viridiplantae; Streptophyta; Magnoliopsida; Brassicales; Brassicaceae
Description: ATSL219700
Source: RNAcentral